GAUGAACGCUGGCGGCAUGCCUAACACAUGCAAGUCGAACGGAGUUAUGUUGAUUGAUUUCUUCGGAAUGAUUUUGAUAUAACUUAGUGGCGGACGGGUGAGUAACGCGUGAGUAACCUGCCUCUCAGAGGGGGAUAACGUUCUGAAAAGAACGCUAAUACCGCAUAUUAUUACGAAAUCGCAUGGUUUUGUAAUGAAAGGAGCAAUCCGCUGAGAGAUGGACUCGCGUCUGAUUAGCUAGAUGGUGGGGUAACGGCCUACCAUGGCGACGAUCAGUAGCCGGACUGAGAGGUUGAACGGCCACAUUGGGACUGAGACACGGCCCAGACUCCUACGGGAGCAGCAGUGGGGGAUAUUGCGCAAUGGGGAAACCCUGACGCAGCAAUGCCGCGUGAAGGAAGACGGUUUUCGGAUUGUAAACUUCUUUUGUAAAGGACGAUAAUGACGGUACUUUACGAAUAAGCUCCGGCUAACUAUAGUGCCAGCAG
RNAcentral lists this ribosomal RNA (488 nucleotides) under uncultured bacterium. RNAcentral's name for it is "bacterial SSU rRNA". It matches the Rfam family "Bacterial small subunit ribosomal RNA", at positions 28 to 514 of the family's 1533-position model. The record is from RNAcentral.